RNAcentral lists this small RNA (1740 nucleotides) under Pongo abelii (Sumatran orangutan). Its description in RNAcentral is "retained intron". The record is from RNAcentral. Lineage: Eukaryota; Metazoa; Chordata; Mammalia; Primates; Hominidae.
GGCGGGAUAGCUGUCCGAGGGCUCCCCCAGCACUGAGGAGCUCGCCUGCUGCCCUCUUGCGCGUGGGAAGCAGCACCAAGUUCACUGCCAACGCCUAGGCACUAGGGUACAGAAUGGCUACAACAGUCCCUGAUGGUUGCCACAGUGGCCUGAAAUCCAAGUACUACAGACUUUGUGAUAAGGCUGAAGCUUGGGGCAUCGUCCUAGAAACAGUGGCCACAGCCGGGGUUGUGACCUCGGUGGCCUUCAUGCUCGCUCUCCCGAUCCUCAUCUGCAAGGUGCAGGACUCCAACAGGCGAAAAAUGCUGCCUACUCAGUUUCUCUUCCUCCUGGGUGUGUUGGGCAUCUUUGGCCUCACCUUUGCCUUCAUCAUCAGACUGGAUGGGAGCACAGGGCCCACACGCUUCUUCCUCUUUGGGAUCCUCUUUUCCAUCUGCUUCUCCUGCCUGCUGGCUCAUGCUCUCAAUCUGACCAAGCUCGUCCGAGGGAGGAAGCCCCUUUCCCUGUUGGUGAUUCUAGGUCUGGCCGUGGGCUUCAGCCUAGUCCAGGAUGUCAUUGCUAUUGAAUAUAUUGUCCUGACCAUGAAUAGGACCAACGUCAAUGUCUUUUCUGAGCUUUCUGCUCCUCGUCGCAAUGAAGACUUUGUCCUCCUGCUCAUCUACGUCCUCUUCUUGAUGGCGCUGACCUUCCUCAUGUCCUCCUUUACCUUCUGUGGUUCCUUCACGGGCUGGAAGAGACAUGGGGCCCAUGUCUACCUCACGAUGCUCCUCUCCAUUGCCAUCUGGGUGGCCUGGAUCACCCUGCUCAUGAUUCCUGACUUUGACCGCAGGUGGGAUGACACCAUCCUCAGCUCUGCUUUGGCUGCCAAUGGCUGGGUAUUCCUGUUGGCUUAUGUUAGUCCCGAGUUUUGGCUGCUCACAAAGCAACGAAACCCCAUGGAUUAUCCUGUUGAGGAUGCUUUCUGUAAACCUCAACUCAUGAAGAAGAGCUAUGGUGUGGAGAACAGAGCCUACUCUCAAGAGGAAAUCACUCAAGGUACAGACUCAGCCUGGCUAGGCAGAGAAUCCCUCGUAGAAAGGUGGGGGAGAAUCAUAGGAUAUUAUAGCUGUAAGGAACAUGCAAGAUUUUCCAGGUUAUACCCUUGACAGAAUAGAUAAGUUCCUUAAGGCUCAGAUCUUGCUUAAAAUUGUCCAGCCUGUUAGAGACAAGUAGAACAAGAAGCUGGCCUCUGGAGUCUUUAUUGAGUACUUUAUACAAUUGGUGUAGACUGGGAGAGCCCUCCUCACUUCCCCUUUCUUGUGCCGUAAUUUCCUGUGGGGCAGAACACCUCAGAGGUUUCUGUGCAUCAAAAUAAGAUGCAGCAAAGAAAUGGAAAAAGGAUAACGAGACAAAUUCCCAGCAAUAAGUAGGUGAGGUUGUGUUUUUUAUAAAAGAUAACGAGGCAUUCCUUCCAGAAAUGUGGAGCCUUUGUAGAUUUCAGUGCAUAAAACCAAGCCAUGAUUUCCUGCAGUGAUCACAGAGCAGAGAAGGGAGAAAGCCCUUUUAUCAUAAACCAGCAGGAAGUCUCCGUAAAAUUGGUAGGGAUUCUGGUUUAGUGCGAAGAACCACAUUUUUUGUGUGUGUUUCUGGGCCCAUGGGAAGGAACAGAUCAUAUUUGACAUACAAGAAUCAAAUGAUUCAGGCCAGGCGUGGUGGCUCACUCCUGUAAUCCUAGCGCUCUGGGAGGCUGAGGUGGGAGGA